AGCAGCAGCCACGGUAAUACGUAGGUGGCAAGCGUUGUCCGGAAUUAUUGGGCGUAAAGGGAGCGUAGGCGGGUCGUUUAGUCAGAGGUGAAAUCCCGGGGCUCAACCUCGGAACUGCCUUUGAUACUGGCGACCUUGAGUAUGGGAGAGGUAAGUGGAACUCCGAGUGUAGAGGUGAAAUUCGUAGAUAUUCGGAAGAACACCAGUCGCGAAGGCGACUUACUGGCCCAUUACUGACGCUGAGGCUCGAAAGCGUGGGGAGCAAACAGGAUUAGAUACCCGCGUAGUCCCUGUCUCUUAUAC
This 303-nucleotide ribosomal RNA is filed under the name uncultured bacterium. Its description in RNAcentral is "partial 16S ribosomal RNA". It matches the Rfam family "Bacterial small subunit ribosomal RNA", at positions 507 to 807 of the family's 1533-position model. The record is from RNAcentral.